UGGCGGCAGGCCUAACACAUGCAAGUCGAGCGGUAGAGAGAAGCUUGCUUCUCUUGAGAGCGGCGGACGGGUGAGUAAUACCUAGGAAUCUGCCUGAUAGUGGGGGAUAACGUUCAGAAACGGACGCUAAUACCGCAUACGUCCUACGGGAGAAAGCAGGGGACCUUCGGGCCUUGCGCUAUCAGAUGAGCCUAGGUCGGAUUAGCUAGUUGGUGAGGUAAUGGCUCACCAAGGCUACGAUCCGCAACUGGUCUGAGAGGAUGAUCAGUCACACUGGAACUGAGACACGGUCCAGACUCCUACGGGAGGCAGCAGUGGGGAAUAUUGGACAAUGGGCGAAAGCCUGAUCCAGCCAUGCCGCGUGUGUGAAGAAGGUCUUCGGAUUGUAAAGCACUUUAAGUUGGGAGGAAGGGCAGUUACCUAAUACGUGAUUGUCUUGACGUUACCGACAGAAUAAGCACCGGCUAACUCUGUGCCAGCAGCCGCGGUAAUACAGAGGGUGCAAGCGUUAAUCGGAAUUACUGGGCGUAAAGCGCGCGUAGGUGGUUUGUUAAGUUGAAUGUGAAAUCCCCGGGCUCAACCUGGGAACUGCAUCCAAAACUGGCAAGCUAGAGUAUGGUAGAGGGUAGUGGAAUUUCCUGUGUAGCGGUGAAAUGCGUAGAUAUAGGAAGGAACACCAGUGGCGAAGGCGACUACCUGGACUGAUACUGACACUGAGGUGCGAAAG
This 727-nucleotide ribosomal RNA is filed under the name uncultured bacterium. RNAcentral's name for it is "bacterial SSU rRNA". It matches the Rfam family "Bacterial small subunit ribosomal RNA", at positions 37 to 759 of the family's 1533-position model. The record is from RNAcentral.